This is a long non-coding RNA of Drosophila ananassae, 1356 nucleotides long. RefSeq lists it as uncharacterized. The record is from RefSeq and is a predicted model, not a curated record. Lineage: Eukaryota; Metazoa; Arthropoda; Insecta; Diptera; Drosophilidae. The transcript is spliced from 3 exons.
GUAAGAGUAAAAUUAAUGUUAUAUAUUAUAUAUUUUCAGAUCUGCCAGUCUUCUAGUUGGCGACUCGCUUGUAGCUAGCUCGCUAAUACACUAUAUAUAGCCGAAAAGUUAAAAAUUUUUGUCCGCUCAAAUUAAUGCUAAAAAUAAAAGUAAGCGAAAGAUCGGCCGAGCAAGAAAAAGCAUCGAGAAGUUCAAGAAGGGCUGUAGCGAAGAUUUACCCGCUGAGGGAUCAUCGCGCUGGAGGAGCGGCACAGGGCCGGCAGUUAUAGAAAAAAAGGCCACAAGCGACCAUUUGCCGGUGUACGCGGAGUUGAGUUGAGGCAGGUCGCGGAUCGCAGGAGCGAGGUCAAGGGUACAAGCGUACAGGCUAGAUCCCUCGAAGCAGCGAGGCGUGGUGCGAGCAACGUUCGGCCAGAAGAAGCAGAGCGAGUUUCAGAAGCGACGCGAAUCUCGCCAUCCGGCUGCCCGUGAGACGGGGCGGAGGAGGGACAUCGAAUCCAAGUUCGGAGCGAGGAGUACAGUGAGCUCGACCGUAGCUGAAGCAGCUAGAGCGUUCGCGACGCUUUAAGGGGCGCUCCGCUGGAGACUAAGGUAGGGUUCGGCCCUAACCUGGCAGGAGCCGCCGUGCAGUAGGCGUCAUCCUGAAGGAGUGAAACCAAGGACGGAGUGCUGGCGGUGCUUUCAAGGAGCACCCCGUCGUUCGAAGGAGUCGCCGUAAAAUAGGCGCUAUCCUAUAGGAGCAGGAGCGAAACCGGAGCGCUCCGUUAUUCGAAGGAGUAGCCGUGGACUAGCCGUCGGUCAUAGGAUAAGAGGCAGGGACAGGGAAAAAUCCUUGAGGGGCAGCAGAAACAACCUUGACACCGCACGUUUAGUAAUUCCAACCACUGUCUUCAGCCACCCAUCCAUACGGUUGAAGCUUAGGUCAGUAAGGUCUGGCUCGAUGAACGUUGAGGGCGGGCCGGUAUUUUAAAAAUGAGCCGAAGUUAGCACAUCUAGGUCCGCAGGAUUUGCUGAAGUCGAAAAAAGGGGGUCUAGAAUUAAUAAUUAAGGCUAAGAGAUUGAGGCUAACAAAGUCCUUAAUUCUACGAAGCCAAGCAUUGCGGGACCAACUGCCCGAUAUAGAUGGUGUUUUGCCGUAUUUACUGCUGUUUCCCACAGACUGCCAAAAUGGUCCGGUGGAAUCCUUUAACUAUAUCGAGCGGAAGUUCAGCCACGACUAUUGGCCAUGUGAGGGCAUCCCCUCUUGGAAGAAUAAUCGGAUGGCGAUCUUCAAAAUCCAGCGCAGAGUUCCGCUGUCGCCCUUCAACACGAAACAAAUCAGCAUCAUCUUAAACAAGAAAGGAAAACUAACUUCGG